RNAcentral lists this unclassified non-coding RNA (2772 nucleotides) under Leishmania donovani. RNAcentral describes it as "gene:LdHU3.33.1430(CDS-product:hypothetical_prote in_conserved)". Lineage: Eukaryota; Euglenozoa; Kinetoplastea; Trypanosomatida; Trypanosomatidae. The record is from RNAcentral.
CCCGCCCCCGCCCCUGGAAAAUAGCCGACGCAACGAGAACACCGAUCGACAACUCGGAUCUCGAAGACUCACCACGGCACUGCACCUACACCCAUACAUACUCACCUCACCCGCUCACCCGCACACAGGCGUGCGUAGGCCCAGGUACACACGCACACAGUACACUACAGCAGCAACAGCGGAGAGGAUAGGAACCAAAGCCGCCAGGAGGGAGUCAUCGAGUUAACGCGAGCGGUGGCCUAGCUCAAUCGCUUGCCUCCGUUUCGGUGAAGCGUGCUCAUCAUCCCUUUUUCCGUCUCUCCGCCCUCCCUCCCCUCCUCUGCAGACAGAGGCACCAGCAAAGCGAUGGAAAACCCAUUCGAGGACUUGCGGCCGGCGCUCCGCAGCGAGGAGGAUGAGAUUCGAAAAGGCGUUUUCAGUCAAGCCCUGCGCAACCUCCAGCAGGCGUCCUUGGAGGAGCGUCGUAGAUGGUGCAAGGCGAUUCGCGAGGCCACGGCACGCGGCGGCGCAAAGACCAAGAAAAAGGCUACGUCCGCUGCUGCGGUUGCCGAGUUUUCCGACAAUAUCGGCCCCUCCACGGCCAUAUCCUCUCCUCCGCAACGCACGGCAAGCAACAGCGCGGCAUCAGCCUCGCCUCCGACGCCCUCCGCACUUACGGCAGCGCAUUCCACCGAAGAGGCCGAUGUUACGGUUGGGCAGAAACGCGCACGCAGUGAGAGCGAGGCCUCUCCAACCGGCGCCAUGGCAACGGCCCUCGGUGGACCGCUAGACGGCGCGCCGCAGCGUUGCGCACCACAGACAUCGCAGACGGUGCCCGAGUCAACUACUGUGGGCUCGCAGCCAUCUCCUACCGCCGCUCUCGCCCCAGCAGAUGGGAAGCCGUCAUCAACUGCGGCUGCAUCCGACCCGGCCGCCGAAGAAACGGAGGAGUCGGUGAAGGAGUGCAUUGCGGCGUACAUGCGUAGCCUCCUCGACCGGGUCGUUGGUACCGGUAUCGACAACCUCGCUGUGCCGGCCCUCAAGGUGCUGUGCAUGAUGCUGGGCAUUCACACCGAGGUGUCUAACAAGUUGGGCUUGUACAGCAUUCUUGCUGACUUCUACUUUAGCAAGUGCGUAAAGCUCGGCAAACGGGUGAGCCGCGACACGGUUUUCGAGCGGCAUGUAGAACAGGAGGUGAGCAUGCUGAGGAGGGUAGCGUCAGCGGCGCCCUCAGCCGGCCGAGCAGAGAAGAAAGUGGCGGCAGCGGCCCCGGAGAAGGCUGCCGUGACGGUCGCAAAGUCAUCCGCCAUCCUUGCCGACAAGGUCGAAAAGACGGAGGUGAAGAGGGAGCAGGCGGUAGUGCGGAAGAAAAUGUUUUCAGCCCCGCUUCCCAAUCCCAGCCGUGCAGCGAAGGCGGUGCCGAAAGCCGACCCGGUCACGGAACACUAUCUCAAGUACGAAGACUACAACGACAACACCUUCGAGGACGACGCGGCGGUGGCAGCGCCGGCGAGCGAUUACGCGUAUGGCGGCGACGUCAUUUACCAGCAGCCGGUGUUCGCGCGGUCAAGCGACAAGACAGCCUCGUCGUCGCACAUGGCCAAAUAUGAGGGGUCUGGCGCAGGCGGCGAAGAGGAUGAUUCGUGGACGCUGCCACUGCUAGAGCGCAAAGUCGCCUCUAUUGUGCAGCUGUAUGAUCCUGUGACGGUGGCCAUUGUUGUAAAGAAGUUAUCGCAAAUGGGGUACCGCGACGGCGGUGCCGAGUCGCGCGUCGAGCAGAUUUUGCGACGCUUCCAUGAGCGUCAGCUAAUCUUUUAUGACAACGGCAUCGCCUACCUUAUGUGAGCUGUGAACCCCCGCCACCCGCACCUUUGCCCACCCACACCCCUUUAAGCCGUUGACCAGCCACCGUUUUCUUUUUUUUUCUUCCUUUUGGUGCGCCCUCUUCGCUUUUCGAAGAGGCGUGGCGUACGCCUCAGUACCUCGAUGCGACUCUUGCAUCGUUUCUCCUUCUCCGACUGCCAGGUCUUGCCUGGCCCGCUCCCUUGCGCGCUUGCCUGUCUGUCUGUGUGUGUGGAAUUCAGGGGGAGGGCUUGUUGGCACUGAGCAAAGAAAUGCUGCGAGGCACGAGGAGACAUACGGGCACAGGCACCUCUUCUUCUCCCAUGUGCCGCAUCCUAUUCGGUGCAUCUUGUGUAUCGCAUUGUCUUGCGACACGCGCCUCUCUCGAUUUCGUUGUCUUAGACUCAUGCAGCCCAUCACUUGGCUGCACCCCAUAGAUAAACGGCGAAAGCGUCGUGGCUGUUGUGGCGGCUAACGAACGAGUGUGCCCUCGUUGAAGAUGCUUUCACCCCCACUCCUCCGCUCUCUGUCUUUUGGCGGCGGGGGUGCCAUCUUCUUCAUUCUUUGAUUCGGUGAUCGUGGCGUCUUGUGCAUCUGUGUGCGUGUGUUUGUGCUCUCCCGCCCCCCCUCCCGCCCGCCUGCCCUUCUCUCUAUCUUCGGACGCCAUCCCCGACAGCUGUUGCCGCCUGCAUGCGUUUCUUCGAUUUUUUUUCGUUCUCCCUCCGCCUUUGAUAGUGAUGAUCUUAAGAAGUUUUGGGUCUUUGCAAUGUGCGUGCGCGCGUGUUUGUGCGCAUGUGUCUUUUUCAUCAUCGACGCUCGCAUCACAUGUGCAGAGGAAGGAAAGGCUGUGGCUGUGCGUGCACCGACGCGGACAGAGAUGUUCGUGCAAGCAAGCGCGCAUGGAUGACACGACAGCACACACACACACACACACACAGCUAUGCUCCUACC